Molecule: transfer RNA, 130 nt
Filed under: Shewanella algae
Lineage: Bacteria; Pseudomonadati; Pseudomonadota; Gammaproteobacteria; Alteromonadales; Shewanellaceae
Description: tRNA-OTHER
Source: RNAcentral
GGUUGGGUAGCUUAGUGGUUAAAGCGGCCCUAGCGCUCUCCCUGCUUGCAGGGAGAGCUUCUCUUCGAAUAGCAUCUUUAUAUAGUCGCUAUUCGAAGGGUAGUCUGGAGUUCGAAUCUCCACCCAGCCA